GGGCUAAACCAUGCACCGAAGCUGCGGCAGCGACACUGUGUGUUGUUGGGUAGGGGAGCGUUCUGUAAGCCUGUGAAGGUGUGUCGUGAGGCAUGCUGGAGGUAUCAGAAGUGCGAAUGCUGACAUAAGUAACGAUAAAGCGGGUGAAAAGCCCGCUCGCCGGAAGACCAAGGGUUCCUGUCCAACGUUAAUCGGGGCAGGGUGAGUCGACCCCUAAGGCGAGGCCGAAAGGCGUAGUCGAUGGGAAACGGGUUAAUAUUCCCGUACUUGGUGUUACUGCGAAGGGGGGACGGAGAAGGCUAUGUUGGCCGGGCGACGGUUGUCCCGGUUUAAGCGUGUAGGUGUGUGUUCCAGGUAAAUCCGGUUCACUUUAACACUGAGGCGUGACGACGAGGCACUACGGUGCUGAAGCAACAAAUGCCCUGCUUCCAGGAAAAGCCUCUAAGCAUCAGGUAACAUCAAAUCGUACCCCAAACCGACACAGGUGGUCAGGUAGAGAAUACCAAGGCGCUUGAGAGAACUCGGGUGAAGGAACUAGGCAAAAUGGUGCCGUAACUUCGGGAGAAGGCACGCUGACACGUAGGUGAAGUGAUUUACUCAUGGAGCUGAAGUCAGUCGAAGAUACCAGCUGGCUGCAACUGUUUAUUAAAAACACAGCACUGUGCAAACACGAAAGUGGACGUAUACGGUGUGACGCCUGCCCGGUGCCGGAAGGUUAAUUGAUGGGGUCAGCGCAAGCGAAGCUCCUGAUCGAAGCCCCGGUAAACGGCGGCCGUAACUAUAACGGUCCUAAGGUAGCGAAAUUCCUUGUCGGGUAAGUUCCGACCUGCACGAAUGGCGUAAUGAUGGCCAGGCUGUCUCCACCCGAGACUCAGUGAAAUUGAACUCGCUGUGAAGAUGCAGUGUACCCGCGGCAAGACGGAAAGACCCCGUGAACCUUUACUAUAGCUUGACACUGAACAUUGAGCCUUGAUGUGUAG
Molecule: ribosomal RNA, 980 nt
Filed under: Salmonella enterica
Lineage: Bacteria; Pseudomonadati; Pseudomonadota; Gammaproteobacteria; Enterobacterales; Enterobacteriaceae
Description: partial 23S ribosomal RNA
Rfam family: Bacterial large subunit ribosomal RNA
Source: RNAcentral